CACGUAGGGUGCGAGCGUUGUCCGGAAUUAUUGGGCGUAAAGAGCUCGUAGGCGGUGUGUCACGUCGGCCGUGAAAACCUGCAGCUUAACUGUGGGCGUGCGGUCGAUACGGGCAUCACUGGAGUUCGGCAGGGGAGACUGGAAUUCCUGGUGUAGCGGUGAAAUGCGCAGAUAUCUGGAGGAACACCGGUGGCGAAGGCGGCAUCCUGGACCGAUAUUGACGCUGAGGAGCGAAAGCCAGGGGAGCAAACGGG
Molecule: ribosomal RNA, 254 nt
Filed under: uncultured bacterium
Lineage: Bacteria
Description: partial 16S ribosomal RNA
Rfam family: Bacterial small subunit ribosomal RNA
Source: RNAcentral